GUGAGGAAUAUUGGUCAAUGGGCGAGAGCCUGAACCAGCCAAGUCGCGUGAAGGAAGAAGGAUCUAUGGUUCGUAAACUUCUUUUGCAGGGGAAUAAAGUGCGGGACGUGUCCUGUUUUGUAUGUACCCUGAGAAUAAGGAUCGGCUAACUCCGUGCCAGCAGCCGCGGUAAUACGGAGGAUCCGAGCGUUAUCCGGAUUUAUUGGGUGUAAAGGGUGCGUAGGUGGUUUGAUAAGUCAGCGGUGAAAGUUUGCAGCUUAACUGUAAAAAUGCCGUUGAAACUGUCGGACUUGAGUGUAAAUGAGGUAGGCGGAAUGCGUGGUGUAGCGGUGAAAUGCAUAGAUAUCACGCAGAACUCCGAUUGCGAAGGCAGCUUACUAAGCUACAACUGACACUGAAGCACGAAAGCGUGGGGAUCAAACAGGAUUAGAAACCCGAGUAGUCC
Molecule: ribosomal RNA, 445 nt
Filed under: uncultured bacterium
Lineage: Bacteria
Description: partial 16S ribosomal RNA
Rfam family: Bacterial small subunit ribosomal RNA
Source: RNAcentral